This 509-nucleotide long non-coding RNA is filed under the name Apteryx rowi (Okarito brown kiwi). RNAcentral describes it as "lncRNA (ENSARWG00000000022.1)". The record is from RNAcentral. Lineage: Eukaryota; Metazoa; Chordata; Aves; Apterygiformes; Apterygidae.
GUCAAGGAGGUGCUGUGGGCCCCAGCCAAGAGGAUGUGAUCUGCUGACCCAGUGCAUCAAGGUGGAGGACAGGGAGUGAGGCCAAGGUGCUGCAUUGCAACCUGCAGCGCAGGCUCCCCUGACGGGGACCUGGAGCUGAAGGAGCCUGAUUUUAAGCAUCCAGCCUGGUGUGAUGCUGCCUGACCCAAUGGGCCAUGUACUGCCAUGGGACCAGAUCCAGCUCURCCACUGACAUAAAGCAGGAUAUUCCUGGGAUCCGGCUUGCCGCUGUGACUGAAGUGCAAAUGCAGCCUGGGAAAGAURCCAUCAUUUCUGCAUGUUGAGCAGACAGGGGAGAAUAUCUGGCUGUGACAYGCAGAGAUAGCAGAGUAGAGCUGGGGAGAUCCUGCUGAACACUGCAGGCAGUUGAAUUUCCUGGUGAAGAAAGAGAAAAGGAGCAGCUCUUGCUCUGCUUCCCAUCACCAGAGGGACCCCUCGGACCAGUCAUGGGGCUUCCCCAGCACAGCUCU